This 255-nucleotide ribosomal RNA is filed under the name uncultured bacterium. RNAcentral's name for it is "partial 16S ribosomal RNA". It matches the Rfam family "Bacterial small subunit ribosomal RNA", at positions 524 to 777 of the family's 1533-position model. The record is from RNAcentral.
UACGUAGGGUGCAAGCGUUAUCCGGAAUUAUUGGGCGUAAAGAGCUCGUAGGCGGUUCCGUAAGUCGGGUGUGAAAAAUCUGGGCUCAACCCAGUGGAGCACUCGAUACUGCGGUGACUCGAGUCCGGUAGGGGAGUGUGGAAUUCCUGGUGUAGCGGUGAAAUGCGUAGAUAUCGGGGAGGAACACCUGUGGCGAAAGCGGCUCACUGGACCAUUACUGACGCUGAUGCUCGAAAGCUAGGGGAGCAAACAGGG